GGUUCAGUGUGGCUAGUGGUUUGGGUGCUGGACUAGGACUCUGGAGACCCGGGUUCGAAUCCCCGCUGGGCCA
Non-coding RNA from Phrynosoma platyrhinos (Desert horned lizard), 73 nucleotides. The record is from the annotation of a GenBank genome assembly. NCBI's taxonomy places the organism in Eukaryota, Metazoa, Chordata, Lepidosauria, Squamata, Phrynosomatidae.